RNAcentral lists this ribosomal RNA (557 nucleotides) under proteobacterium StRD454. RNAcentral describes it as "bacterial SSU rRNA". It matches the Rfam family "Bacterial small subunit ribosomal RNA", at positions 102 to 694 of the family's 1533-position model. Lineage: Bacteria; Pseudomonadati; Pseudomonadota. The record is from RNAcentral.
ACGGGUGAGUAACGCGUGGGAAUCUACCCAGCUCUACGGAAUAACCCAGGGAAACUUGGACUAAUACCGUAUACGUCCGAUAGGAGAAAGAUUUAUCGGAGUUGGAUGAGCCCGCGUUGGAUUAGCUAGUUGGUGGGGUAAAGGCCUACCAAGGCGACGAUCCAUAGCUGGUCUGAGAGGAUGAUCAGCCACACUGGGACUGAGACACGGCCCAGACUCCUACGGGAGGCAGCAGUGGGGAAUAUUGGACAAUGGGCGCAAGCCUGAUCCAGCCAUGCCGCGUGAGUGAUAAGGCCCUAUGGUUGUAAAGCUCUUUCACCGGUGAAGAUAAUGACGGUAACCGGAGAAGAAGCCCCGGCUAACUUCGUGCCAGCAGCCGCGGUAAUACGAAGGGGGCAAGCCGUUGUUCGGAAUUACUGGGCGUAAAGCGCACGUAGGCGGACUAUUAAGUCAGGGGUGAAAUCCCGGGGCUCAACCCCGGAACUGCCUUUGAUACUGGUAGUCUAGAGUCCGGAAGAGGUGAGUGGAAUUCCGAGUGUAGAGGUGAAAUUCGUAGA